UAACACAUGCAAGUCGAGGGGUAACAGGGAUUGCUUGCAAUCCGCUGACGACCGGCGCACGGGUGCGUAACGCGUAUGCAACCUACCUUUUACAAGGGGAUAGCCCAGAGAAAUUUGGAAUAAUACCCUAUACGAUCAUCAAUUGGCAUCAAUUAAUGAAGAAAACUCCGGUGGUAAAAGAUGGGCAUGCGUCCUAUUAGUUAGUUGGUAAGGUAACGGCUUACCAAGACUCCGAUAGGUAGGGGUCCUGAGAGGGAGAUCCCCCACACUGGUACUGAGACACGGACCAGACUCCUACGGGAGGCAGCAGUGAGGAAUAUUGGACAAUGGAGGCAACUCUGAUCCAGCCAUGCCGCGUGCAGGAAGACGGCCCUACGGGUUGUAAACUGCUUUUAUACAGGAAGAACUAUAUCUACGUGUAGAUAUUUGACGGUACUGUACGAAUAAGGAUCGGCUAACUCCGUGCCAGCAGCCGCGGUAAUACGGAGGAUCCAAGCGUUAUCCGGAAUCAUUGGGUUUAAAGGGUCCGUAGGCGGUCUAAUAAGUCAGAGGUGAAAUCCUACAGCUCAACUGUAGCAUUGCCUUUGAUACUGUUAGACUUGAGUUAUUGUGAAGUAGUUAGAAUGUGUAGUGUAGCGGUGAAAUGCAUAGAUAUUACACAGAAUACCGGAUUGCGAAGGCAGAUUACUAACAAUAUACUGACGCUGAGGGACGAAAGCGUGGGUAGCGAACAGGAUUAGAUACCCUGGUAGUCCACGCCGUAAACGAUGGAUACUAGCUGUUCGAUCAACAUUGGGUUGGUUGAGUGGCUAAGCGAAAGUGAUAAGUAUCCCACCUGGGGAGUACCCCUCGCAAGAGUGAAACUCAAA
RNAcentral lists this ribosomal RNA (869 nucleotides) under uncultured Bacteroidota bacterium. RNAcentral describes it as "bacterial SSU rRNA". It matches the Rfam family "Bacterial small subunit ribosomal RNA", at positions 49 to 905 of the family's 1533-position model. Lineage: Bacteria; Pseudomonadati; Bacteroidota. The record is from RNAcentral.